RNAcentral lists this ribosomal RNA (492 nucleotides) under uncultured bacterium. RNAcentral describes it as "partial 16S ribosomal RNA". It matches the Rfam family "Bacterial small subunit ribosomal RNA", at positions 29 to 507 of the family's 1533-position model. The record is from RNAcentral.
AGUGAACGCUGGCGGUAGGCCUAACACAUGCAAGUCGAACGGCAGCACAGUAAGCGCUUGCUCUUACGGGUGGCGGGUGGCGGACGGGUGAGGAAUACAUCGGAAUCUACUUUUUCGUGGGGGAUAACGUAGGGAAACUUACGCUAAUACCGCAUACGACCUACGGGUGAAAGCAGGGGAUCUUCGGACCUUGCGCGAUUGAAUGAGCCGAUGUCGGAUUAGCUAGUUGGCGGGGUAAAGGCCCACCAAGGCGACGAUCCGUAGCUGGUCUGAGAGGAUGAUCAGCCACACUGGAACUGAGACACGGUCCAGACUCCUACGGGAGGCAGCAGUGGGGAAUAUUGGACAAUGGGCGCAAGCCUGAUCCAGCCAUACCGCGUGGGUGAAGAAGGCCUUCGGGUUGUAAAGCCCUUUUGUUGGGAAAGAAAAGCAGCAGGUUAAUACCCCGCUGUUCUGACGGUACCCAAAGAAUAAGCACCGGCUAACUUCGUG